This 546-nucleotide unclassified non-coding RNA is filed under the name Hevea brasiliensis (rubber tree). The record is from RNAcentral. Lineage: Eukaryota; Viridiplantae; Streptophyta; Magnoliopsida; Malpighiales; Euphorbiaceae.
GUUGUAGCCCUUGAUCAUCUUAAGAACUAUAUAUACAUAGAAGCGGACAAAGAAGCUCACGUGAGGGAGGCGUGCAAGGGUAUGCGCAAUAUAUAUGCCUCUGCGAAAAUAAUGCUGGUCCCCAUAAAGGAGAUGACUGAUGUCCUUUCAGUUGAAAGCAAAGCGGUUGAUCUUGCCAGGGAUACUUGGGUCAGAAUGAAGAUGGGAACUUACAAGGGAGACCUUGCAAAGGUUAUGGAUGUAGAUAAUGUGAGACAGAAAGUCGUCGUGAAAUUAAUCCCAAGGAUUGAUUUACAGGCUCUUGCGAACAAGUUGGAAGGGAGGGAAGCUCCAAAGAAAAAGGCAUUUAUUCCUCCACCACGCUUUAUGAAUAUCGAUGAAGCUAGAGAGAUGAACCUACGUGUGGAACGUAGGCGAGACCCGAUGUCAGGUGACUAUUUUGAGAAUAUUGGAGGUAUGAUGUUCAAAGAUGGUUUCUUGUAUAAGACAGUGUCAAUGAAAUCAAUCAGGACCCUGAAUAUACAGCCAACUUUUGAUGAACUUGAG